RNAcentral lists this long non-coding RNA (766 nucleotides) under Capsicum annuum. RNAcentral's name for it is "long non-coding RNA (CANN_LNC021752)". Lineage: Eukaryota; Viridiplantae; Streptophyta; Magnoliopsida; Solanales; Solanaceae. The record is from RNAcentral.
CACAACUCAACACUUAGUUCUUUCCAAAUAACACCACUGGUCCAAGUCCCUUACACCCUGUUAUAACUGUUAGGAUCGGAAUUAAAUAAUCAAGUGUCAUAUUGAAACUAGCAAAACAAACCUUGAAAGACGCCAAAUAAGAAGACAUGCGAGAAUGCAUCAAAAGAGGCACAAUAAUUUAACGUGGUUCGGUCAAUCCACUAUACAAAAAGAGAGUACAAAAUUUUGAGAAAGCCCACCUCACAAAAUAGCAUCACAACACUUCUGUCUCACAAAUUCUCCCCCAACAAUACUCUCAAAGCCCUUAUGACUAUAUUGUAGAUGCUACCAAGCUAGAAGAGGGGGCCUAGUUCAUAAAUUUUUUCUACAAGAACAAGAAUUAGCCAAAUAGAAAGAAUUUAUAUUUUUCUUUUUCCUAAACGAAAAUUCAAUUAUGUUAAGAAAAAAGGUAAGGAGAAUGACGAUUCCAUGCCUUAAGGAUGACUAAAGCUUCCCUCUUUCCUGGUCUCUAUUAUCCCAAAAAUUCCUUUUCAUUGCUCUCAUCAGUGCAUCAAGUCGGAUAGUGUUUUCUGCCCCUCCUUAGCGACUUUGGUCAAGGAAAGGGAAUAGGACAAUAAAUAGGCUUCCACUUAGAAUUACACCUUUUGUAGAUGAAAUUUUAACUUCUCGAUAGGCCUAAGAAAGCCUAGAUCAUUAGACAAAUAAGUUGAUAUUCAAUUUGACUAAACAUUUGGGCCAAAACGCGAAAAAGGAAACAGGAAUUUCC